GCAAGUCGAACGAGAACGGGUUAUAGCUUGCUAUAACUGUCAGCUAAGUGGCGCACGGGUGAGUAAUAUAUAGUUAACCUGCCCUAGAGAAGGGGAUAACGUUUGGAAACGGACGCUAAUACCCUAUAUGCCUUUAAGACAAAAGUCUGCAAGGGAAAUAUUUAUAGCUCUAGGAUGGGACUGUACGGUAUCAGAUAGUUGGUGAGGUAAUGGCUCACCAAGUCGACGAUCCAUACCUGGUUUGAGAGGAUGAUC
Molecule: ribosomal RNA, 255 nt
Filed under: uncultured bacterium
Lineage: Bacteria
Description: partial 16S ribosomal RNA
Rfam family: Bacterial small subunit ribosomal RNA
Source: RNAcentral